ACUAUAACGGUCCUAAGGUAGCGAAAUUCCUUGUCGGGUAAGUUCCGACCUGCACGAAUGGCAUAAUGAUGGCAGCGCUGUCUCCAGCAGAGACUCAGUGAAAUCGAAAUCGCAGUGAAGAUGCUGUGUACCCGCGGCUAGACGGAAAGACCCCGUGAACCUUUACUACAGCUUUACAUUGAACUUUGACCUAACUUGUGUAGGAUAGGUGGGAGGCUUUGAAGCAGAUACGCCAGUAUUUGUGGAGCCAACCUUGAAAUACCACCCUGGUUAUGUUGGGGUUCUAACUUAGGAUUAACAAAUCCAAGGACAAUGUAUGGUGGGUAGUUUGACUGGGGCGGUCUCCUCCUAAAGAGUAACGGAGGAGUACGAAGGUGCGCUCAGAACGGUCGGAAAUCGUUCAAAGAGUAUAAAGGCAAAAGCGCGCUUAACUGCGAGACCCACAAGUCGAGCAGGUACGAAAGUAGGUCUUAGUGAUCCGGUGGUUCUGUAUGGAAGGGCCAUCGCUCAACGGAUAAAAGGUACUCUGGGGAUAACAGGCUGAUACCGCCCAAGAGUUCAUAUCGACGGCGGUGUUUGGCACCUCGAUGUCGGCUCAUCUCAUCCUGGGGCUGAAGCAGGUCCCAAGGGUAUGGCUGUUCGCCAUUUAAAGAGGUACGCGAGCUGGGUUUAGAACGUCGUGAGACAGUUCGGUCCCUAUCUACCGUGGGCGUUGGAAAUUUGAGAGGAUCUGCUCCUAGUACGAGAGGACCAGAGUGGACGAACCUCUGGUGUUUCGGUUGUCACGCCAGUGGCAUUGCCGAGUAGCUACGUUCGGAUGGGAUAACCGCUGAAAGCAUCUAAGCGGGAAGCCCACCUCAAGAUAAGAUUUCCCUAAGAGCCGUUGUAGACUACGACGUUGAUAGGUUGGGUGUGGAAGUGUAGUGAUACAUGUAGCUAACCAAUACUAAUUGCUCGUUUGGCUUGACCAU
This 971-nucleotide ribosomal RNA is filed under the name human metagenome. RNAcentral describes it as "bacterial LSU rRNA". It matches the Rfam family "Bacterial large subunit ribosomal RNA", at positions 1939 to 2925 of the family's 2925-position model. The record is from RNAcentral.